Molecule: transfer RNA, 88 nt
Filed under: Paenibacillus sp. OVF10
Lineage: Bacteria; Bacillati; Bacillota; Bacilli; Caryophanales; Paenibacillaceae
Also listed under: 1 other name
Description: tRNA-Ser
Rfam family: tRNA
About the family: Transfer RNA (tRNA) molecules are approximately 80 nucleotides in length. Their secondary structure includes four short double-helical elements and three loops (D, anti-codon, and T loops).
Source: RNAcentral
GGAGAGGUACCGAAGCGGUCAUAACGGGGCGGUCUUGAAAACCGUUAGGGGCAACUCCACGUGGGUUCGAAUCCCACCCUCUCCGCCA